Molecule: ribosomal RNA, 200 nt
Filed under: uncultured bacterium
Lineage: Bacteria
Description: partial 16S ribosomal RNA
Rfam family: Bacterial small subunit ribosomal RNA
Source: RNAcentral
UACGUAGCAGCAAGCGUUGUUCGGAAUUACUGGGCGUAAAGAGUGUGUAGGCGGUGCUCUAAGUUCGGUGUGAAACCUCCCGGCUCAACUGGGAGGGUGCGCCGGAAACUGGAGUGCUGGAGCGCGGGAGAGGAAAGCGGAAUUCCUGGUGUAGCGGUGAAAUGCGUAGAUAUCAGGAGGAACACCGGCGGUGUGAAGAC